AUGUUUGAUAGUGAGGCUGAAGGCUAUGAAUUCUACAACAAAUAUGCUCUUGAAAAAGGUUUUAGUGUGAGGAAAAGCAACGUUUAGUGGGAUGGAUCCAACAAUUACGUAAUUUUAAGGAAACUUGUGUAUAGUCGUCAAGUGUUUUGCAAAGAGAAGCACAUGAAAAGAAAGAUGGAAGAUAGAAAGAGGAGGCCACGAAGUUUAACUCGUGUUGGAUGUAACGCUAAAUUGGUCAUUGCGAGACAGGAGGUAACAUGUCGGUGGUUUGUAAAGGAUUUCAUCGAUGAGCACAGCCAUCCUCUAGCCCCACUAGAUCUUUCUUGUCUGCUGCGUUCGCAAGGACGAAUUAGCGAUGAGCAGAAAGCGGACAUUGCGGACAUGGAAAAAUCUAGGAUCCGCAAAUGCCGUAUUAUGGAUAUUUUGUGCAUUCAAUACAGUGGAUUUGAUAAAGUUGGAUGCAUAAAGAGGGACAUUUAUAAUUUCUGCCAUGCUAAUAAGCAAGAGACAAUCAGUGCCGGUGAUGCUAAGACGGUGAUCAUGCACAUGAUGGCGAGGUGAGAGCGAGAUCCGGAUUUUUUCUUCAGGUACUUAGUUGAUGAAGUUGGCCAUCUGAAGGGACUGUUCUGGGUUGAUAGUCAAUCCCGGCUUGACUAUGAGGCUUUCGGAGACGUCAUUGUUUUUUAUAGCACAUACAAAACUAAUAAGUACAAUUUGUCAUUCGUGUCGUUUGUCGGGUUGAAUCAACACCGCAGCACUGUUAUUUUUGGUUGCGAUAUAAUUUCUCAUGAAACAAGCCAGGCAUACGAGUGGAUGUUGCGGACCUUUUCUAAUUGCAUGGCACAGAAGCAUCUGAUAUCUGUGAUCACAGACUGGGACCUUGCAAUGCAGAGACCAAUCAGGGUGGUCUCAAACCAUAGGCUAUUUAUAUGGCACAUUCAGCAGAACAUUGUACGCCAUCUGCAUGAUGACGAUGUAAAGGAGGAACUCGUAUCUUUCGUAUAUGAUACUUCUUCCAUUGAAGAGCAUGAGAUAAAAUGGAUACAAUUCUUACAACGGGAUAAGUAA
This 1068-nucleotide ribosomal RNA is filed under the name Triticum aestivum (bread wheat). RNAcentral describes it as "partial small subunit ribosomal RNA". The record is from RNAcentral. Lineage: Eukaryota; Viridiplantae; Streptophyta; Magnoliopsida; Poales; Poaceae.